UACGAAGGUGGCAAGCGUUGUUCGGAUUUACUGGGCGUACAGGGAGCGUAGGCGGUUGGAUAAGCCCUCCGUGAAAUCUCCAGGCUUAACCUGGAAAGUGCAGAGGGGACUGUUCAGCUAGAGGAUGGGAGAGGAGCGCGGAAUUCCCGGUGUAGCGGUGAAAUGCGUAGAGAUCGGGAGGAAGGCCGGUGGCGAAGGCGGCGCUCCGGAACAUUUCUGACGCUGAGGCUCGAAAGCGUGGGGAGCAAACAGG
RNAcentral lists this ribosomal RNA (253 nucleotides) under uncultured bacterium. RNAcentral's name for it is "partial 16S ribosomal RNA". It matches the Rfam family "Bacterial small subunit ribosomal RNA", at positions 524 to 776 of the family's 1533-position model. The record is from RNAcentral.